RNAcentral lists this unclassified non-coding RNA (203 nucleotides) under Hevea brasiliensis (rubber tree). Lineage: Eukaryota; Viridiplantae; Streptophyta; Magnoliopsida; Malpighiales; Euphorbiaceae. The record is from RNAcentral.
AUGGGAUUCGUCGGAUUCUUCGUGAAAUUAAUCUUCAUUCCGAUCAACAACAUCAUUGUCAGUUCUGGUUAGGCCUCAUGGAUUAUUGACAAUUCUAUGGGAUGCAAGCGGUUCAAUUGAAAGUUGUUUUUGAAGAGGAAUGCUAAGCAUUUUGGAUUUCUUAGGUAAUGUUUUGAUAUGUACGCGAUACUUGAGUUAAACCA